CCUACGGGAGGCAGCAGUGAGGAAUAUUGGUCAAUGGGCUUACGCCUGAACCAGCCAAGUCGCGUUAGGGCAGACUGCCCUACGGGUUGUAAACUGCUUUUAUACGGGAAUAACGCGCCUUACGUGUAGGGCUUUGCAUGUACCGUAUGAAUAAGGACCGGCUAAUUCCGUUCCAGCAGCCGCGGUAAUACGGAAGGUCCGGGUGUUAUCCGGAUUUAUUGGGUUUAAAGGGAGCGUAGGCCGCAUGUCAAGCGUGCUGUGAAAUGUCCGGGCUCAACCCGGGCCUUGCAGCGCGAACUGGCUUGCUUGAGUCCGCGGAAAGCAGGCGGAAUUCGUCGUGUAGCGGUGAAAUGCUUAGAUAUGACGAAGAACCCCGAUUGCGAAGGCAGCUUGCUGCAGCGGAACUGACGCUGAUGCUCGAAAGCGCGGGUAUCGAACAGGAUUAGAUACCCUAGUAGUC
RNAcentral lists this ribosomal RNA (460 nucleotides) under uncultured bacterium. RNAcentral's name for it is "partial 16S ribosomal RNA". It matches the Rfam family "Bacterial small subunit ribosomal RNA", at positions 338 to 795 of the family's 1533-position model. The record is from RNAcentral.